Molecule: ribosomal RNA, 460 nt
Filed under: uncultured bacterium
Lineage: Bacteria
Description: partial 16S ribosomal RNA
Rfam family: Bacterial small subunit ribosomal RNA
Source: RNAcentral
CCUACGGGGGGCAGCAGUGGGGAAUAUUGCGCAAUGGGCGAAAGCCUGACGCAGCGACGCCGCGUGAGGGAAGACUGCCCUAUGGGUUGUAAACCUCUUUUGUCAGGGAGCAACGCCGGCUACGUGUAGCCGGACUGAGAGUACCUGAAGAAAAAGCAUCGGCUAACUCCGUGCCAGCAGCCGCGGUAAUACGGAGGAUGCGAGGGUUAUCCGGAUUGUUUGGGUUUAAAGGGUGCGUAGGCGGAAUGCCAAGUCAGCGGUAAAAUCGCGGGGCUCAACCUCGCUCCGCCGUUGAAACUGGCGUUCUUGAGUGGGCGAGAAGUAUGCGGAAUGCGUGGUGUAGCGGUGAAAUGCAUAGAUAUCACGCAGAACUCCGAUUGCGAAGGCAGCAUACCGGCGCCCAACUGACGCUGAAGCACGAAAGCGUGGGUAUCGAACAGGAUUAGAUACCCGAGUAGUC